Molecule: ribosomal RNA, 253 nt
Filed under: uncultured bacterium
Lineage: Bacteria
Description: partial 16S ribosomal RNA
Rfam family: Bacterial small subunit ribosomal RNA
Source: RNAcentral
UACGUAGGGUCCAAGCGUUAUCCGGAAUCACUGGGCGUAAAGGGUGCGUAGGUGGCGCCGUAAGUCGGGUGUGAAAUUUCGGAGCUUAACUCCGAAACUGCAUUCGAUACUGCGGUGCUUGAGGACUGGAGAGGAGACUGGAAUUCAUGGUGUAGCAGUGAAAUGCGUAGAGAUCAUGAGGAAGACCAGUGGCGAAGGCGGGUCUCUGGACAGUUCCUGACACUGAGGCACGAAGGCCAGGGGAGCAAACGGG